RNAcentral lists this ribosomal RNA (429 nucleotides) under Chloroflexota bacterium. RNAcentral describes it as "Chloroflexi bacterium partial 16S ribosomal RNA". It matches the Rfam family "Bacterial small subunit ribosomal RNA", at positions 355 to 776 of the family's 1533-position model. Lineage: Bacteria; Bacillati; Chloroflexota. The record is from RNAcentral.
UGGGGAAUAUUGCACAAUGGGCGCAAGCCUGAUGCAGCCAUGCCGCGUGUAUGAAGAAGGCCUUCGGGUUGUAAAGUACUUUCAGCGGGGAGGAAGGGAGUAAAGUUAAUACCUUUGCUCAUUGACGUUACCCGCAGAAGAAGCACCGGCUAACUCCGUACCAGCAGCCGCGGUAAUACGGAGGGUGCAAGCGUUAAUCGGAAUUACUGGGCGUAAAGCGCACGCAGGCGGUUUGUUAAGUCAGAUGUGAAAUCCCCGGGCUCAACCUGGGAACUGCAUCUGAUACUGGCAAGCUUGAGUCUCGUAGAGGGGGGUAGAAUUCCAGGUGUAGCGGUGAAAUGCGUAGAGAUCUGGAGGAAUACCGGUGGCGAAGGCGGCCCCCUGGACGAAGACUGACACUCAGGUGCGAAAGCGUGGGGAGCAAACAGG